RNAcentral lists this ribosomal RNA (350 nucleotides) under uncultured Pseudomonas sp. Its description in RNAcentral is "bacterial SSU rRNA". It matches the Rfam family "Bacterial small subunit ribosomal RNA", at positions 1034 to 1382 of the family's 1533-position model. Lineage: Bacteria; Pseudomonadati; Pseudomonadota; Gammaproteobacteria; Pseudomonadales; Pseudomonadaceae. The record is from RNAcentral.
ACAGGUGCUGCAUGGCUGUCGUCAGCUCGUGUCAUGAGAUGUUGGGUUAAGUCCGUAACCGAGCGCAACCCUUGUCCUUAGUUACCAGCACGUUAUGGUGGGCACUCUAAGGAGACUGCCGGUGACAAACCGGAGGAAGGUGGGGAUGACGUCAAGUCAUCAUGGCCCUUACGGCCUGGGCUACACACGUGCUACAAUGGUCGGUACAAAGGGUUGCCAAGCCGCGAGGUGGAGCUAAAUCCCAUAAAACCGAUCGUAGUCCGGAUCGCAGUCUGCAACUCGACUGCGUGAAGUCGGAAUCGCUAGUAAUCGUGAAUCAGAAUGUCACGGUGAAUACGUUCCCGGGCCUU